Non-coding RNA from Mycena latifolia, 92 nucleotides. The record is from the annotation of a GenBank genome assembly. NCBI's taxonomy places the organism in Eukaryota, Fungi, Basidiomycota, Agaricomycetes, Agaricales, Mycenaceae.
GCGGACGUGGUGCACGGUGCACCACUGCUUUCCUUGGACUUUCGUCAAAUGAUUGCAAGCAGUAAAACGGGGUUCGACUCCCCGCGUCCGCA